Long non-coding RNA from Mauremys mutica (yellowpond turtle), 457 nucleotides. RefSeq lists it as uncharacterized. Lineage: Eukaryota; Metazoa; Chordata; Testudines; Geoemydidae. The transcript is spliced from 4 exons. The record is from RefSeq and is a predicted model, not a curated record.
AUGCCGAUGCCGCUGAGCUGGUGUGUCCAAAGCACCCUGCCCCUCUCUGGGAGUUCUAGUUGCUGGAGGCACCUGGCUCUGUCAUGAUGCAGGAACCAAAACAGUGAUUUCAGGUGCUGCUGCUCAGAGUGACACCUGCACCAGCCACCCAUGGCCGUGCCAGCAGGCAAGAAGUGACAGCUAUCCAUUUAAAGGCAGUAGAAGUGAGCAGUGGGGUUUUUUGCAGAAAACAAUGGUGCUCACGGUACACCAAUACCCAUCAGCACUGUUUCCCCUGGCCCAGUCCAACCAGAAUCCACCGUCCCGAGCAUGUUUAUACAGUCUGGAGCAACAACAUGGCUCCCCAUCAUUGCAGCAGAAAGCUCAAAACAGCAUUACUCAUCCCUUGUAUUACAAGAAAUAUCCUAAAGAACAGUGUCUGCAGCUACAGCAGCCAGGAUGGAAACACCUGUCAGGG